AGGUGGGGGUACAACAGUUGGAAACGACUGCUAAUACCGCAUAAUGUCUACGGACCAAAGGGGGCUUUUAGCUCCCGCCUUUAGAUUGGCCCAAGUGGGAUUAGUUAGUUGGUGAGGUAAUGGCUCACCAAGGCAACGAUCCCUAGCUGGUUUGAGANAAUGAUCAGCCACACUGGGACUGAGACACGGCCCAGACUCCUACGGGAGGCAGCAGUGGGGAAUAUUGCACAAUGGGCGAAAGCCUGAUGCAGCCAUGCCGCGUGUGUGAAGAAGGCCUUCGGGUUGUAAAGCACUUUCAGUCAGGAGGAAAGGUUAGUAGUUAAUACCUGCUAGCUGUGACGUUACUGACAGAAGAAGCACCGGCUAACUCCGUGCCAGCAGCCGCGGUAAUACGGAGGGUGCGAGCGUUAAUCGGAAUUACUGGGCGUAAAGCGUACGCAGGCGGUUUGUUAAGCGAGAUGUGAAAGCCCCGGGCUCANCCUGGGAACUGCAUUUCGAACUGGCAAACUAGAGUGUGAUAGAGGGUGGUAGAAUUUCAGGUGUAGCGGUGAAANUGCGUAAAGAUCUNAANGAAUACCNAUNGCNAANGCANCCNCCUGGGNUCAACACUGACCCUCAUGUNCCAAANCGUGGGGAGCAACCGGGAU
This 647-nucleotide ribosomal RNA is filed under the name marine bacterium SIMO-2517. RNAcentral describes it as "partial 16S ribosomal RNA". It matches the Rfam family "Bacterial small subunit ribosomal RNA", at positions 134 to 778 of the family's 1533-position model. The record is from RNAcentral.